ACUGCGUACCUUUUGUAUAAUGGGUCAGCGACUUAUAUUCUGUAGCAAGGUUAACCGAAUAGGGGAGCCGGAGGGAAACCGAGUCUUAAUUGGGCGUUAAGUUGCAGGGUAUAGACCCGAAACCCGGUGAUCUAGCCAUGGGCAGGUUGAAGGUUGGGUAACACUAACUGGAGGACCGAACCGACUAAUGUUGAAAAAUUAGCGGAUGACCUGUGGCUGGGGGUGAAAGGCCAAUCAAACCGGGAGAUAGCUGGUUCUCCCCGAAAGCUAUUUAGGUAGCGCCUCGUGAAUUCAUCUCCGGGGGUAGAGCACUGUUUCGGCUAGGGGGCCAUCCCGGCUUACCAACCCGAUGCAAACUGCGAAUACCGGAGAAUGUUAUCACGGGAGACACACGGCGGGUGCUAACGUCCGUCGUGAAGAGGGAAACAACCCAGACCGCCAGCUAAGGUCCCAAAGUCAUGGUUAAGUGGGAAACGAUGUGGGAAGGCCCAGACAGCCAGGAUGUUGGCUUAGAAGCAGCCAUCAUUUAAAGAAAGCGUAAUAGCUCACUGGUCGAGUCGGCCUGCGCGGAAGAUGUAACGGGGCUAAACCAUGCACCGAAGCUGCGGCAGCGACACUCAGGUGUUGUUGGGUAGGGGAGCGUUCUGUAAGCCUGCGAAGGUGGCCUGUGAGGGUUGCUGGAGGUAUCAGAAGUGCGAAUGCUGACAUAAGUAACGAUAAAGCGGGUGAAAAGCCCGCUCGCCGGAAGACCAAGGGUUCCUGUCCAACGUUAAUCGGGGCAGGGUGAGUCGACCCCUAAGGCGAGGCCGAAAGGCGUAGUCGAUGGGAAACGGGUUAAUAUUCCCGUACUUGGUGUUACUGCGAAGGGGGGACGGAGAAGGCUAUGUUGGCCGGGCGACGGUUGUCCCGGUUUAAGCGUGUAGGUGUGUGUUCCAGGUAAAUCCGGUUCACUUUAACACUGAGGCGUGACGACGAGGCACUACGGUGCUGAAGCAACAAAUGCCCUGCUUCCAGGAAAAGCCUCUAAGCAUCAGGUAACAUCAAAUCGUACCCCAAACCGACACAGGUGGUCAGGUAGAGAAUACCAAGGCGCUUGAGAGAACUCGGGUGAAGGAACUAGGCAAAAUGGUGCCGUAACUUCGGGAGAAGGCACGCUGACAUGUAGGUGAAGUGAUUUACUCAUGGAGCUGAAGUCAGUCGAAGAUACCAGCUGGCUGCAACUGUUUAUUAAAAACACAGCACUGUGCAAACACGAAAGUGGACGUAUACGGUGUGACGCCUGCCCGGUGCCGGAAGGUUAAUUGAUGGGGUCAGCGCAAGCGAAGCUCCUGAUCGAAGCCCCGGUAAACGGCGGCCGUAACUAUAACGGUCCUAAGGUAGCGAAAUUCCUUGUCGGGUAAGUUCCGACCUGCACGAAUGGCGUAAUGAUGGCCAGGCUGUCUCCACCCGAGACUCAGUGAAAUUGAACUCGCUGUGAAGAUGCAGUGUACCCGCGGCAAGACGGAAAGACCCCGUGAACCUUUACUAUAGCUUGACACUGAACAUUGAGCCUUGAUGUGUAGGAUAGGUGGGAGGCUUUGAAGUGUGGACGCCAGUCUGCAUGGAGCCGACCUUGAAAUACCACCCUUUAAUGUUUGAUGUUCUAACGUGGACCCGUGAUCCGGGUUGCGGACAGUGUCUGGUGGGUAGUUUGACUGGGGCGGUCUCCUCCUAAAGAGUAACGGAGGAGCACGAAGGUUGGCUAAUCCUGGUCGGACAUCAGGAGGUUAGUGCAAUGGCAUAAGCCAGCUUGACUGCGAGCGUGACGGCGCGAGCAGGUGCGAAAGCAGGUCAUAGUGAUCCGGUGGUUCUGAAUGGAAGGGCCAUCGCUCAACGGAUAAAAGGUACUCCGGGGAUAACAGGCUGAUACCGCCCAAGAGUUCAUAUCGACGGCGGUGUUUGGCACCUCGAUGUCGGCUCAUCACAUCCUGGGGCUGAAGUAGGUCCCAAGGGUAUGGCUGUUCGCCAUUUAAAGUGGUACGCGAGCUGGGUUUAGAACGUCGUGAGACAGUUCGGUCCCUAUCUGCCGUGGGCGCUGGAGAACUGAGGGGGGCUGCUCCUAGUACGAGAGGACCGGAGUGGACGCAUCACUGGUGUUCGGGUUGUCAUGCCAAUGGCACUGCCCGGUAGCUAAAUGCGGAAGAGAUAAGUGCUGAAAGCAUCUAAGCACGAAACUUGCCCCGAGAUGAGUUCU
Molecule: ribosomal RNA, 2233 nt
Filed under: Salmonella enterica subsp. enterica serovar Montevideo str. CT_02035318
Lineage: Bacteria; Pseudomonadati; Pseudomonadota; Gammaproteobacteria; Enterobacterales; Enterobacteriaceae
Description: bacterial LSU rRNA
Rfam family: Bacterial large subunit ribosomal RNA
Source: RNAcentral